RNAcentral lists this transfer RNA (75 nucleotides) under Desulfotalea psychrophila LSv54. RNAcentral's name for it is "tRNA-Cys (GCA) (tRNA-Cys-GCA-1-1)". It matches the Rfam family "tRNA". Rfam says of the family: Transfer RNA (tRNA) molecules are approximately 80 nucleotides in length. Lineage: Bacteria; Pseudomonadati; Thermodesulfobacteriota; Desulfobulbia; Desulfobulbales; Desulfocapsaceae. The record is from RNAcentral.
GGCGACGUGGCCAAGUGGUAAGGCACUGGUCUGCAAAACCAUGAUUCAGCGGUUCAAAUCCGCUCGUCGCCUCCA